RNAcentral lists this ribosomal RNA (484 nucleotides) under uncultured bacterium. RNAcentral describes it as "partial 16S ribosomal RNA". It matches the Rfam family "Bacterial small subunit ribosomal RNA", at positions 30 to 507 of the family's 1533-position model. The record is from RNAcentral.
AUUGAACGCUGGCGGCGGGCCUAACACAUGCAAGUCGAGCGGAUGAAGGGAGCUUGCUCCUGGAUUCAGCGGCGGACGGGUGAGUAAUGCCUAGGAAUCUGCCUGGUAGUGGGGGAUAGCGUCCGGAAACGGGCGCUAAUACCGCAUACGUCCUGAGGGAGAAAGUGGGGGAUCUUCGGACCUCACGCUAUCAGAUGAGCCUAGGUCGGAUUAGCUAGUUGGUGGGGUAAAGGCCUACCAAGGCGACGAUCCGUAACUGGUCUGAGAGGAUGAUCAGUCACACUGGAACUGAGACACGGUCCAGACUCCUACGGGAGGCAGCAGUGGGGAAUAUUGGACAAUGGGCGAAAGCCUGAUCCAGCCAUGCCGCGUGUGUGAAGAAGGUCUUCGGAUUGUAAAGCACUUUAAGUUGGGAGGAAGGGCAGUAAGUUAAUACCUUGCUGUUUUGACGUUACCAACAGAAUAAGCACCGGCUAACUUCGUG